RNAcentral lists this long non-coding RNA (445 nucleotides) under Sorghum bicolor (sorghum). RNAcentral's name for it is "long non-coding RNA (SBIC_LNC004121)". The record is from RNAcentral. Lineage: Eukaryota; Viridiplantae; Streptophyta; Magnoliopsida; Poales; Poaceae.
GCCACUGUUGUCAUUAAACGGAGGCCGCGCGGACGACGACGAAGGACGGCCGCACGUACGACGACGGAUGGAGGCCGCGCGGACGAGGGACGGAGAACAGCCACGCAGACGACGAUAGAUGGAGGCCGCGCAGACGAUGACGGACGACGGCCGCACGUAUGAUGAUGGAUGGAGACUGCGCGGACGACGACGGACGGAGACCGCACGGACGACGACAGAGGACAGCCGCGCGGACGACGGAGGCAAGAGGACGGGGCGGCAAUGACCACCAUGGAUAGCAACUCUGGAUAGCAACUCCUCAAAUUUGCGCGUGGAGCGCCUCUGGAUAGCAACUCCUCAAAAUUUGGCAAGUCCUUUAGCAAACCAUUGGAGAAUCAAAUUUGUAGUUUUUGCCAAAUAAACAAGGAUAGCAAGUGCAAAUGACAAACCAUUGGAGAUGCUCUAA